CAUGAGAUACCAUGGGAAGGAUAAAAAGAAACUACUCAUGAUAUCAUCAGACUGUUUGCUGUCUCCAGUGCUUCCCACAGACACACUUCAUGGUGUUUUAAAUCCACAGCUGACUAAUAUUUGCCCUUGUUGUUUGACAGAGUGGGAAACCAAGAGAAAAGCCCAAAGAUGGUCAACUUGGAUUCCAGGAAAUGAAGCCAUGAAGUGAAUAUUCAGAUAACAUUGUGUGUCCCAAUCCUUUUCGGCCAGCCCUCUCUGUUCUACUACUUUUUUGAAAAGGACAUCAUACUGCCAUCUGCCAGGAACAGAAUGCUCCAAAACCAAGAUUUUCCCUUGAGCCAAGCUGCUGUCACUCUGAGCCUGUCCAGGCCAUUUACAAAUUAUAUAUCUUUACAGUUGUAUAAAUUUGGAAGAGAAAGAGACAUUGUUCCCAUGGUCACGAUGGGUUAACUGUUCUGAAACACCUUCCUGUGUGUGUACAGGUCCUACCAGUUCUGUCUCAGGUGCCUGUCACAAGGAUGCUUUUUUUGAUGCAGGCAAAGGGACAGCACCCCCAGCAACGGAAGUUGGAGUGCUUUGCCCAUUGGCAGGACCUGCUAAGAGGCUGUGUCAAGGCCACUGGAAAGAAGGGGAUUCUGGGAGACACUGGCUCUGGCAUUCUUCCUGGGGUGGGG
Molecule: long non-coding RNA, 674 nt
Filed under: Cricetulus griseus (Chinese hamster)
Lineage: Eukaryota; Metazoa; Chordata; Mammalia; Rodentia; Cricetidae
Description: lncRNA (ENSCGRG00000026650.1)
Source: RNAcentral